Molecule: ribosomal RNA, 791 nt
Filed under: uncultured archaeon
Lineage: Archaea
Description: bacterial SSU rRNA
Rfam family: Archaeal small subunit ribosomal RNA
Source: RNAcentral
ACUGCUCAGUAACACGUGGAUAACCUGCCCAAAAGUCUGGGAUAACCCCGGGAAACUGGGGAUAAUACCGGAUGGAUCACUUCUGCUGGAAGGCUUGGUGGUUUAAAGGCAACGCUUUUGGAUGGGUCUGCGGCGGAUUAGGUUGACGCCGGUGUAACGUACCGGCGUGCCUGUAAUCCGUACGGGUUGUGGGAGCAAGAGCCCGGAGAUGGAUUCUGAGACACGAAUCCAGGCCCUACGGGGCGCAGCAGGCGCGAAAACUCUACAAUGCAGGCAACUGCGAUAGGGGGACAUCGAGUGGCACCCACCUUGGGUGCCUGUCCCACCGUCUAAAAAACGGUGGUUAGCAAGGGCCGGGUAAGACCGGUGCCAGCCGCCGCGGUAAUACCGGCGGCUCGAGUGGUGGCCGAUAUUAUUGAGUCUAAAGGGUCCGUAGCCGGCUUUGCAAGUCCCCUGGGAAAUCCAGCGGCUCAACCGUUGGGCUUCCAUGGGAUACUACAUUGCUUGGGACUGGGAGAGGUAGGAGGUACUCGGGGGGUAGGGGUGAAAUCCUGUAAUCCUCCGGGGACCACCGGUGGCGAAGGCGUCCUACCAGAACAGGUCCGACGGUGAGGGACGAAAGCUAGGGGCACGAACCGGAUUAGAUACCCGGGUAGUCCUAGCCGUAAACGAUGCCCGCUAGGUGUCACGGCGGUCGUGAAUCGCCGUGGUGCCGUAGGGAAGCCGCGAAGCGGGCCACUUGGGAAGUACGGCCGCAAGGCUGAAACUUAAAGGAAUUGGCGGGGGAGCAC